UUAAUUAUAUAAGUUUUGUGAAUUGUUGGAAUUUAGUAGGCUUGUAAUCAGCCAUCAUUUAUUUCGUUAUAGAAUAUUUUCUGAUUGUAUUUAUUUAAUUUUCUUUAUUUUUUUACUUGAAUAAUCUAAUUAAUUAAUAUUUUUAUGUUAUAAUGAUUGAAUUAGUAUUUUAGUUAAUUAAAUUAUAGGAACUCGGCAAAUUUAGUGUUCGCCUGUUUAACAAAAACAUGUCCUUUUGUUUAUUUAUUUAAGGUCUGACCUGCCCAAUGAGGAAUUCAAUGGCCGCAGUAUUUUAACUGUGCUAAGGUAGCAUAAUCAUUUGUCUUUUAAUUGAGGGCUGGAAUGAAAGGUUGGACGAGAUAUAGACUUUCUUUAAUUUAGUUUUAAGAAUUUAAUUUUUGAGUUAAAAAGCUUAAAUUUGUUUGUUGGACGAGAAGACCCUAUAGAUCUUUAUAAUUUUAUAUUUUAAUAAUUUGGUGGUUAUGUUUAUUAUAAGUAGAAUAAUUAUUUGGUUGGGGUGACUGUAGAAUUUUAUUAACUUCUAUUGUUUAGAUUUCAUUAAUUGGUGUUUUUUUGAUCCAUAUUUUUAUGAUUAAAAGAUUAAGUUACCUUAGGGAUAACAGCGUAAUUUUUUCGGAGAGUUCAUAUUGAUGAAGAAGUUUGCGACCUCGAUGUUGGAUUAAAAUAAGCUUAUGGAUGCAGGAGUA
Molecule: ribosomal RNA, 707 nt
Filed under: Meccus pallidipennis
Lineage: Eukaryota; Metazoa; Arthropoda; Insecta; Hemiptera; Reduviidae
Description: partial 16S ribosomal RNA
Rfam family: Bacterial large subunit ribosomal RNA (bases 176-382)
Source: RNAcentral